GCAAUGGAGAACAUUUACAGAGGACUGUGGGUAAAGCAAAGUCUUCAAGGGAAGAUAACAAAGGAUGAAACAAUGGUGUUGUGUGACUUCCUAGUGUGAAUCAUGGCAAUACAGUGAAAGACAGUGAUUUACUGCUUUUGAGGGCGUGCAUGUAUAUGAUUAACGGAUGGAAGUGCAGGACUCCAAGAUUUACUUCCUUCCCUUUCCAGCAGAAUUACCUGAGACGAGUAAAAUCUACUGGUGGAGUCACUCCAUUAUUCUUAUCUGUGGAGAUCUAGAUCUUGAUUUGAAAGUUUCUGAGAAAAUCUUCAGCUCAGACUUGAGGGUCAACUUUACCAGCUGAAGUGACUACAUCCUGCCUGCUUUCAGCUCCAGUGGAAAAUGCAUUAAUCCCAGAGUCUCCGUGAGGUUUCCUGUUUGAUGACAUAAUCAGAAAAUCCUCCUCACAUUGCCCUUGGGGUUGCUGUCUGGAUGUUAUGUUGUCUUGGAUCUGCAUUUACUGCUCAACCACAUCUAAUUUGAUGUCCUCUGCAGAUUUAAAAUGUGUGCCUUCUUUUCCGUCACCAAGUCAUCCCUGGGUUACUACUGAACAUCCUUCUCAAUUCCCCCCGACCCAUGGAUGGCUGUUCUCCAUUGUCUGUUUCACCAGAUGUCCUCAAAACAAACAGACAGAAGAAGGAAGUGGCUAAUGACCCAAUCUAAUCUAGGUGGGAGAGAAAGUAAAGAGAGUCUCUUGGAAAACUGAAGAGAGUCACAGCAAGCCCACAGAGUUACACAGGAAUCAGGAGGAAUAAAAAUGUAAAGGAGCUGUGGAGUCCAAGUGUGACUGCCAAGAGGAAUCCAGCAAAGCCAAAAAGCCCAAGCAUGUAGCCCUGCCCGAAGCACGCCACACGCAUGGAAAACCCAGAGGAAAUGAGUGAGGAUCAAUGGGAAGAAGAGAGCCAGCCAGGUUCGAUGCCUUCUCCAUCCGUCAGUGAGGGUGUGGAGAGCCUGCAGGCGUGUGCCUCCCUCUGUAACUUGCUAUUCCUUGUGUAAUGUCAAGUGGAAGUGUGAAGCACCACAAACUGCUCUGAGCAGAGCCCACUUCCCUUCACCCACGGAGAGCGUGAAGCAGUUACACCAACAUCAAUCAAGGAAAACCCACAGGCUGAGCUCACACGGUUGAAGCAGGAAGUUGAAGAUUUGUCCAGGAGCAGAUAGCUGAAGAGAGAGAGAGAGAAGAGAGAACGGCUUACAGCUCAGGUCCUCUCUCCAUGCUUAGGAACCACUACAAAUGCUACUGCCUUGAGUCUCAUUUUGUUUCCCUCUGGAAACCACAUGUGUACCUUGUUUGCAACAGUAUGGUUCUGGAGACCAGAAGGCCAAAAUCAAAAGUAUGGGCAGGCUUGAUUUCUUUAGAAGACUCCAGCGGAGAACUGUGUCUCCUUGCUUCUGAUUCUACAUCUCCAUCCAUGGGCCACUGUUUCAGCAACCUCAGCCAGUGCAACACAACCUCAGCCAAGAAGAGUAUGCAGAGAAAGGAGUCCCCUACCUGCCACAAAACUGUUGUCUGAAAACUGUCUCAUAUUGUCUCAAGUUGUCAUUCAUUGUGAAUUAGACCUGUUUAACAUGUAAUCUGCAA
Long non-coding RNA from Homo sapiens (human), 1621 nucleotides. Ensembl annotates it as cancer susceptibility 15. Its record names the gene CASC15. Lineage: Eukaryota; Metazoa; Chordata; Mammalia; Primates; Hominidae. The record is from Ensembl.